GCUAGGGUAGUUUAUAAAAAUAUUACAUUGUGGUUGUAAAGAUGUGCCCACCCUCCUAGCA
RNAcentral lists this transfer RNA (61 nucleotides) under Garjajewia cabanisii. RNAcentral describes it as "tRNA-His". The record is from RNAcentral. Lineage: Eukaryota; Metazoa; Arthropoda; Malacostraca; Amphipoda; Acanthogammaridae.